GGUUAAGUGACUAAGCGUACACGGUGGAUGCCUAGGCAGUCAGAGGCGAUGAAGGACGUGCUAAUCUGCGAAAAGCGCCGGUGAGCUGAUAUGAAGCGUUAUCAGCCGGCGAUGUCCGAAUGGGGAAACCCGGUGCAAUUCGUUGCAUCAUCGUUAAGUGAAUCCAUAGCUUAACGAAGCGAACCAGGGGAACUGAAACAUCUCAGUACCCUGAGGAAAAGAAAUCAACCGAGAUUCCCCCAGUAGCGGCGAGCGAACGGGGAACAGCCCAGAGCCAUCAUCAGCUUGCGCAUCAGGAGAACGGUCUGGAAAGUCCGGCGACAGAGGGUGAUAGCCCCGUAUCCGAAGGUGUGCUUGUUGUGAGCUCGAUGAGUAGGGCGGGACACGUGAUAUCCUGUCUGAAGAUGGGGGGACCAUCCUCCAAGGCUAAAUACUCCUGACUGACCGAUAGUGAACCAGUACCGUGAGGGAAAGGCGAAAAGAACCCCGGCGAGGGGAGUGAAAUAGAACCUGAAACCGUGUACGUACAAGCAGUGGGAGCAUCCUUCGGGGUGUGACUGCGUACCUUUUGUAUAAUGGGUCAGCGACUUAUAUUCUGUAGCAAGGUUAACCGUAUAGGGGAGCCGCAGGGAAACCGAGUCUUAACUGGGCGUCUAGUUGCAGGGUAUAGACCCGAAACCCGGUGAUCUAGCCAUGGGCAGGUUGAAGGUUGGGUAACACUAACUGGAGGACCGAACCGACUAAUGUUGAAAAAUUAGCGGAUGACUUGUGGCUGGGGGUGAAAGGCCAAUCAAACCGGGAGAUAGCUGGUUCUCCCCGAAAGCUAUUUAGGUAGCGCCUCGUGACGUCAUCUACGGGGGUAGAGCACUGUUUCGGCUAGGGGUCCAUCCCGGAUUACCAACCCGAUGCAAACUGCGAAUACCGUAGAAUGUAAUCACGGGAGACACACGGCGGGUGCUAACGUCCGUCGUGAAGAGGGAAACAACCCAGACCGCCAGCUAAGGUCCCAAAGUCAUGGUUAAGUGGGAAACGAUGUGGGAAGGCACAGACAGCCAGGAUGUUGGCUUAGAAGCAGCCAUCAUUUAAAGAAAGCGUAAUAGCUCACUGGUCGAGUCGGCCUGCGCGGAAGAUGUAACGGGGCUAAACCAUGCACCGAAGCUGCGGCAGCGACACGUAAGUGUUGUUGGGUAGGGGAGCGUUCUGUAAGCCUGCGAAGGUGGCCUGUGAGGGCUGCUGGAGGUAUCAGAAGUGCGAAUGCUGACAUAAGUAACGAUAAAGCGGGUGAAAAGCCCGCUCGCCGGAAGACCAAGGGUUCCUGUUCAACGUUAAUCGGAGCAGGGUGAGUCGACCCCUAAGGCGAGGCCGAAAGGCGUAGUCGAUGGGAAACAGGUUAAUAUUCCUGUACUGGGUGUGACUGCGAAGGGGGGACGGAGAAAGCUAGGUUCGCCGGGCGACGGUUGUCCCGGUUCAAGCGUGAAGGUGGAAUGAGCAGGCAAAUCCGCUCAUUCUUAACACUGAGGCGUGAUGACGAGCCACUACGGUGGUGAAGGAAUUGAUGCUACGCUUCCAGGAAAAGCCUCUAAGCUCCAGGUCACAUCGAAUCGUACCCCAAACCGACACAGGUGGUCAGGUAGAGAAUACCCAGGCGCUUGAGAGAACUCGGGUGAAGGAACUAGGCAAAAUGGUGCCGUAACUUCGGGAGAAGGCACGCUGGCAUGUAGGUGGAGGGCCUUGCGCCCCGAGCUGAAGCCAGUCGCAGAUACCAGCUGGCUGCAACUGUUUAUUAAAAACACAGCACUGUGCAAACACGAAAGUGGACGUAUACGGUGUGACGCCUGCCCGGUGCCGGAAGGUUAAUUGAUGGGGUUAUCGCUUGCGAGAAGCUCUUGAUCGAAGCCCCGGUAAACGGCGGCCGUAACUAUAACGGUCCUAAGGUAGCGAAAUUCCUUGUCGGGUAAGUUCCGACCUGCACGAAUGGCGUAAUGAUGGCCAGGCUGUCUCCACCCGAGACUCAGUGAAAUUGAACUCGCCGUGAAGAUGCGGUGUACCCGCGGCAAGACGGAAAGACCCCGUGAACCUUUACUAUAGCUUGACACUGAACAUUGAGCCUUGAUGUGUAGGAUAGGUGGGAGGCUUUGAAGUGUGGACGCCAGUCUGCAUGGAGCCAACCUUGAAAUACCACCCUUUAAUGUUUGAUGUUCUCACUCAGGCCCGUUAUCCGGGCCGAGGACAGUGUCUGGUGGGUAGUUUGACUGGGGCGGUCUCCUCCCAAAGUGUAACGGAGGAGCACGAAGGUUAGCUAAUCACGGUCGGACAUCGUGAGGUUAGUGCAAAGGCAUAAGCUAGCUUGACUGCGAGAGUGACGGCUCGAGCAGGUGCGAAAGCAGGUCUUAGUGAUCCGGUGGUUCUGAAUGGAAGGGCCAUCGCUCAACGGAUAAAAGGUACUCCGGGGAUAACAGGCUGAUACCGCCCAAGAGUUCAUAUCGACGGCGGUGUUUGGCACCUCGAUGUCGGCUCAUCACAUCCUGGGGCUGAAGUAGGUCCCAAGGGUAUGGCUGUUCGCCAUUUAAAGUGGUACGCGAGCUGGGUUUAGAACGUCGUGAGACAGUUCGGUCCCUAUCUGCCGUGGGCGCUGGAAGAUUGAGAGGGGCUGCUCCUAGUACGAGAGGACCGGAGUGGACGCACCACUGGUGUUCGGGUUGUCAUGCCAAUGGCAUUGCCCGGUAGCUACGUGCGGAAGAGAUAACCGCUGAAAGCAUCUAAGCGGGAAACUUGCCUCGAGAUGAGUCUUCCCUGAGGCCUAGAGCCUCCUGAAGGGACGUUAAAGACGAUGACGUUGAUAGGUCGGGUGUGUAAGCGCUGCGAGGCGUUGAGCUAACCGAUACUAAUGACCCGUGAGACUUAACCUU
Molecule: ribosomal RNA, 2909 nt
Filed under: Sodalis praecaptivus
Lineage: Bacteria; Pseudomonadati; Pseudomonadota; Gammaproteobacteria; Enterobacterales; Bruguierivoracaceae
Description: Bacterial large subunit ribosomal RNA
Rfam family: Bacterial large subunit ribosomal RNA
Source: Rfam by way of RNAcentral